CCUGUGCUCACCUGCGCUUCGAUCGGGACUGCCGGUCCCUGCCCCGCUCCGGGGGGGCCUUGGCCUUGUCCCGGCCCUGCCUGCCCGGGCCCGGGCGGGGUUUGGGUCUGGCUGGGGAGAGUGAAGUCGGUGAACUCGAACUCGGAUCCCUGCGUGUCGGCGCCGAGCAGCUCGGCCUCCUCGGUGUCCAGGAAGGAUAAAGCCUGGAUCUGAAACAGCAUGUACCAGAUUUACAGCUGUUAGGCUGAAAAGAUCUAGAUGAAGACUGAAAAGCAUCCUUGUUUUAGGAAUUCUGUGCACCAAGCCCAGGAGAGGAAAGAACAAGUAAAGGGAACACAGGUUCAGUUGUGGCUAUAAAAAGUGUUACUGAAACAAGUCAUGGAUUGGGAACUUAAAACAGUGAAGGAAAAGGAGGAAAAGAUCUUGACAUUUCUUCAGUGAUCCUGAAUGAAGAAGGUGCUUAGACAUGAUGGUGAUGAGUGACAUAAACUGAUAAGAGAUGAAAGCCAGUAAAUGAAACUACCUAUAAACUCUAUGCUAUAAACUAGUUUUCUUUCACUAAGUGGAUACUAAAAGGCUAAUAAACUGUGAAAAGGUAAUAGAAUAUUAGAAUACUAAUUAAAACUACUUUAUUUCAGUAUUAAAUUUGAAAUCCUUCCUUCCAAACUGUAUUUGAAUCCUUUCUAACACCCGCUCCUUGAAAAUAGCUGAAGUGUGUGUUCAUCCUAAACAAUGCCACGUUAGCACAGAGUCAAUUCAAGGAACUCAUGUAGGGGAAAAGUCUUUUUAUGAACAAAGCUUCUGGCUUUCUGAAGGUUUCUGGUUGCAAAAGUGCUAUGUGAAGUGAUCUCUUUAACUGGCCACAGAAGUUAAACCGUGCUAGCUAAAAGGCAUGGUUUCUAAACUCCAAGAAAUAAAAUUGCUGGAAUUGAUGGAUACAUUCAAAAACAUAUUUAAGAGUAUCUGUUACCUAUUAAAUCUGUCUUGGGUAGGAGUUCUGUAAGGAGCAGACUUGUUAAAAAUCCUCAGUUUCUAAAGGGGCAUCAAAGUUUCUUUAAACUGGGCUUCUUCAAGACAGAUGUCAUUGUAGCUGAGUGUAAAACCAGCUAUUGAAGCCCUUGAUUGACUACAAAGAGUGUACAUGUUCCUUUGUUUUAAUUUCUGGCAGUUCUCCUGGGCAGAUGGAGAAGCACUGAGGUUAUUUCAGUGUAAUGUAAAAUCCAGUGCUUCACAAAGGGUUUGAUGUGUGUUUGGAUCUCAUGGAGUUGUGUUCCUCCCUCUGGUUUAGUGAGGAAAAUAGGAGAGUGGUGAGCUUUCAGGUUGUCCCUGGAGGCUCAUUUAAAUGUAUAAAUACUUUUAAGUUUUAGCAACACAACUUCUGAUGUGGGAGAAGCUUGCUUUCUUCUCAGAGCAUUCCUGCUUUACAGACAUGCUUUAACCUUGGGGGAAGGUGGCAAACACAGGGUUAAAUAAGAGG
Molecule: long non-coding RNA, 1477 nt
Organism: Melopsittacus undulatus (budgerigar)
Lineage: Eukaryota; Metazoa; Chordata; Aves; Psittaciformes; Psittaculidae
Exons: 3
Source: RefSeq, a predicted model, not a curated record